This 466-nucleotide ribosomal RNA is filed under the name Vreelandella stevensii. RNAcentral describes it as "partial 16S ribosomal RNA". It matches the Rfam family "Bacterial small subunit ribosomal RNA", at positions 338 to 795 of the family's 1533-position model. Lineage: Bacteria; Pseudomonadati; Pseudomonadota; Gammaproteobacteria; Oceanospirillales; Halomonadaceae. The record is from RNAcentral.
CCUACGGGAGGCUGCAGUGGGGAAUAUUGGACAAUGGGGGGAACCCUGAUCCAGCCAUGCCGCGUGUGUGAAGAAGGCCCUCGGGUUGUAAAGCACUUUCAGUGAGGAAGAACGCCUGGUGGUUAAUACCCAUCAGGAAAGACAUCACUCACAGAAGAAGCACCGGCUAACUCCGUGCCAGCAGCCGCGGUAAUACGGAGGGUGCGAGCGUUAAUCGGAAUUACUGGGCGUAAAGCGCGCGUAGGUGGCUUGAUAAGCCGGUUGUGAAAGCCCCGGGCUCAACCUGGGAACGGCAUCCGGAACUGUCAAGCUAGAGUGCAGGAGAGGAAGGUAGAAUUCCCGGUGUAGCGGUGAAAUGCGUAGAGAUCGGGAGGAAUACCAGUGGCGAAGGCGGCCUUCUGGACUGACACUGACACUGAGGUGCGAAAGCGUGGGUAGCAAACAGGAUUAGAUACCCCGUGUAGUC